AGAGUUUGAUCCUGGCUCAGGAUGAACGCUAGCGGCAGGCUUAACACAUGCAAGUCGAGGGGCAGCGGGGAGGAAGCUUGCUUUCUCCGCCGGCGACCGGCGCACGGGUGAGUAACACGUAUGCAACCUGCCCCUGUCAGGGGGACAACCCGCCGAAAGGCGGGCUAAACCCGCGUACAUGCCACCGGGGCAUCCCGGAGGCAGGAAAGGCUUCGGCCGGACAGGGAUGGGCAUGCGGCGCAUUAGGCAGUAGGCGGGGUAACGGCCCACCUAACCGACGAUGCGUAGGGGUUCUGAGAGGAAGGUCCCCCACACUGGUACUGAGACACGGACCAGACUCCUACGGGAGGCAGCAGUGAGGAAUAUUGGUCAAUGGUCGGGAGACUGAACCAGCCAAGCCGCGUGAGGGAGGAAGGUACAGAGUAUCGUAAACCUCUUUUGUCAGGGAACAAAGGCGGGGACGUGUCCCCGGAUGAGUGUACCUGAAGAAAAAGCAUCGGCUAACUCCGUGCCAGCAGCCGCGGUAAUACGGAGGAUGCGAGCGUUAUCCGGAUUUAUUGGGUUUAAAGGGUGCGCAGGCGGUCUGUUAAGUCAGCGGUCAAAGCCCGGGGCUCAACCCCGGCCCGCCGUUGAAACUGGCAGUCUCGAGUUGGAGAGAAGUAUGCGGAAUGCGCGGUGUAGCGGUGAAAUGCAUAGAUAUCGCGCAGAACUCCGAUUGCGAAGGCAGCAUGCCGGCUCCACACUGACGCUGAGGCACGAAAGCGUGGGUAUCGAACAGGAUUAGAUACCCUGGUAGUCCACGCAGUAAACGAUGAAUGCUGGCUGUCCGGGGGGAUUGACCCCUGGGUGGCGAAGCGAAAGCGAUAAGCAUUCCACCUGGGGAGUACGCCGGCAACGGUGAAACUCAAAGGAAUUGACGGGGGCCCGCACAAGCGGAGGAACAUGUGGUUUAAUUCGAUGAUACGCGAGGAACCUUACCCGGGCUCAAACGGGGAGUGACUCAGGCAGAGACGCCUGUUUCCCACGGGACACUCCCCGAGGUGCUGCAUGGUUGUCGUCAGCUCGUGCCGUGAGGUGUCGGCUUAAGUGCCAUAACGAGCGCAACCCCCGCGUGCAGUUGCUAACAGAUAACGCUGAGGACUCUGCACGGACUGCCGGCGCAAGCCGCGAGGAAGGCGGGGAUGACGUCAAAUCAGCACGGCCCUUACGUCCGGGGCGACACACGUGUUACAAUGGGUGGUACAGCGGGAAGCCAGGCGGCGACGCCGAGCGGAACCCGAAAUCCACUCUCAGUUCGGAUCGGAGUCUGCAACCCGACUCCGUGAAGCUGGAUUCGCUAGUAAUCGCGCAUCAGCCAUGGCGCGGUGAAUACGUUCCCGGGCCUUGCACUCACAGCCCGUCAAG
Molecule: ribosomal RNA, 1404 nt
Filed under: uncultured bacterium
Lineage: Bacteria
Description: partial 16S ribosomal RNA
Rfam family: Bacterial small subunit ribosomal RNA
Source: RNAcentral